GUGCUCGCUUCGGCAGCACAUAUACUAAAAUUGGAACGAUACAGAGAAGAUUAGCAUGGAAGAAUGAAACUAGAACACUUUCUAACACCAUACAAAAAAAU
Cervus hanglu yarkandensis (Yarkand deer) is the source of this 101-nucleotide small nuclear RNA. The record is from Ensembl. NCBI's taxonomy places the organism in Eukaryota, Metazoa, Chordata, Mammalia, Artiodactyla, Cervidae.